UGGUCCUCACUGUAUGAGCUGUGCCUUGUAAGCGCACACCACCAGCUUGGCCUGAAAAACAUUCCCGCGAAUGUCAGAACAUACGUCAAGUUAUCUGAGGACAGCACGCAAUACAUAAAGUUUCCAAGAGAUGAAAACACACCCCUGUGCACAGGAAAGCUGUUGUCUGAUAGUGAUGCUGCGGGAACAACUUGUUAUGUACAGUUGACAGUGAAGAUUAUUUCUGCCUAAAAAGUUUUAGUGUGAUUGCAGCCAAAAUACAGAAAUUGUGGCAAUGAUGAAACAUAGGUAGAAGUUUCAUAAGAAAUACAAAUGUUCAGCCUUCCUUACUUCAACUCAAUUUGAAAGUUUUUGUCCCUUUUGUACCUUGAUGUCAUUCCUGUUACCCACAAUAAAAGUUAGUUAUGAAGAAACA
Molecule: long non-coding RNA, 415 nt
Organism: Haliotis rubra (blacklip abalone)
Lineage: Eukaryota; Metazoa; Mollusca; Gastropoda; Lepetellida; Haliotidae
Exons: 2
Source: RefSeq, a predicted model, not a curated record